CGCGAGGUAGAGCAGUGGUAGCUCGUCGGGCUCAUAACCCGAAGGUCGCUGGUUCGAGUCCAGUCCUCGCUACUA
This 75-nucleotide transfer RNA is filed under the name Flavobacteriaceae bacterium TMED208. RNAcentral's name for it is "tRNA-Met". It matches the Rfam family "tRNA". Rfam says of the family: Transfer RNA (tRNA) molecules are approximately 80 nucleotides in length. Their secondary structure includes four short double-helical elements and three loops (D, anti-codon, and T loops). Further hydrogen bonds mediate the characteristic L-shaped molecular structure. tRNAs have two regions of fundamental functional importance: the anti-codon, which is responsible for specific mRNA codon recognition, and the 3' end, to which the tRNAs corresponding amino acid is attached (by aminoacyl-tRNA synthetases). tRNAs cope with the degeneracy of the genetic code in two manners: having more than one tRNA (with a specific anti-codon) for a particular amino acid; and 'wobble' base-pairing, i.e. permitting non-standard base-pairing at the 3rd anti-codon position. Lineage: Bacteria; Pseudomonadati; Bacteroidota; Flavobacteriia; Flavobacteriales; Flavobacteriaceae. The record is from RNAcentral.